Molecule: ribosomal RNA, 253 nt
Filed under: uncultured bacterium
Lineage: Bacteria
Description: partial 16S ribosomal RNA
Rfam family: Bacterial small subunit ribosomal RNA
Source: RNAcentral
UACGUAGGGGGCAAGCGUUGUUCGGAAUUACUGGGCGUAAAGCGCGUGUAGGCGGCUAAGUAAGUCGGGCGUGAAAUCCCACGGCUCAACCGUGGAAGUGCACUCGAAACUGCAUAGCUAGAGUCCUGGAGAGGAAGGUGGAAUGCUUGGUGUAGAGGUGAAAUUCGUAGAUAUCAAGCGGAACACCGGUGGCGAAGGCGGCCUUCUGGACAGUGACUGACGCUGAGACGCGAAAGCGUGGGGAGCAAACAGG